Molecule: non-coding RNA, 1549 nt
Organism: Rhopilema esculentum
Lineage: Eukaryota; Metazoa; Cnidaria; Scyphozoa; Rhizostomeae; Rhizostomatidae
Source: RefSeq, a predicted model, not a curated record
UGAAGAAAAACUUCCCUGUUAUCAGGUUUGCUACUCUGUUAUUUUUGGCCAGGUUUUAUAUGUUCUGGUAAGAUUUAUAUAUAAUCAGUGGUAGCUGUAGUUAGGCCAAAUUACACUGAAAAUGUCCCUGAAAACAAUGUAAAACGUUUUUGGUCCGUCUUAAAGGGGUCCAGUCAAAACUUAGCCACACCCUUAGCCACACCCUAUUUGGCCCCGAAAAUCUGCGUUUUACGCUAUUUUGAACAGUGAUAAAAAUUCCUUAAAUUAAUGCCUGGUAUUGGGGCUAGUGGGGCUCAGCCCCACCAACGAUUUCUAAGAACAUGUUUUAGAUUUAUAAACAUAAAUAAAAUCAACGUCAAUUAUUAUCUUAGCACUGUUCACUAAUUUCGUUGCUUCGAGUUUCACCAUUUUUCCAGUCUCUAGUUUGUUUAGGUCCCAAUGCCCGCGGUUCUUUUGAAAACUAGAGCAUCCAAAGUUGAUUGAGGAUAGAGGCUUGUAACUAUUCACUUCCAGGGCAAUUGCUUAUUCGGGGGCUUAAAGAGGUGUAAUCCGAGUCGAGAAUUAAUAGCCCACAGGCUAAGAAUUGAAGGUAUGUGCCUAACUUAUGCUAUGGACUUUACCAUGAAGUGAUAUUGCAUUAUGGGAUCGAGCUGAUUCACUCUCACUGUUCACUCUCUGUUCUGUGCAGGAAAGUAAAGUAUUUCCUCUUUUCUUUGGAAGUUACAGCAGGAGGAAAAGAACAGGACAGCUUCGAAAUGUUCGGAACAAAUGCAUAUGGCCAGCAGGUCCAGCAAUUUCAAAAGCAAAUUGAGCAGUUGAAGAGGGAAGUAAGAAUCGAAAGGCGUCAAGUUUCAUCAAGCUCUCGAGAGAUUGUUGCAUUCUGUGAAAAUGAGAAAAGAGCUGAUCCAUUGGUCUCAAAGUUUCCUGACAACCCAUUCAGAGACAAGAAAGGGAUCUGUUCUGUUUUCUAAGCUGUACAAAUGCAAAGCUUUCAUUUGUGAAAACGACCACUAGUAAACUGAAGUUUGGCCAAGGCAUCAUGUAAUGCUUACCAUGUUUGAACUAAAAUGAGCAUCAGGUGGUCAUUCACCAUCAGAUGUCUGUAUACAUUAAUGAAUUUACUUUCUGUUUGUUAACAUUAAGCUUUGACUGAUUCUUUUCAAUGUCUUAUGUAUGUUCGUUAUAAUUUUGUCCACCUAUUAGUGGAUGUUGUAAUAACUGCUGACUAAUUUAGGGUAAUGUUUGAGUCCACCUAGUCAUAAGAUAUGAAUAAACAUUUUUCUAUGCAAUUUUUUACCGUUUUCAGAAUGCAUCCACCUUUGUUAGGCUUCAUGAAGUAACAUUUACCAACCUUAUAUAAUAUAUUCAUGUGUAUCUGACCAUAGCUUAUUUUUAAAAUUUAGAUAUCUGUAAUGUUAAUUAGUAUUUUUAUAUACCAUUUCAUUGAUAUUAAUUUUUUUUUGAAGAAAACCGGGGAUUUUGUUUUAGGCCCUCUACUGUUGAGAACAUUUUUAUAAAAGGAAUAUUAUAUUUUUUAAUGUUUGGUUGA